CAAAUUAGAGCUUGUAUAGUAUUUUAUUUACAUUAAAAAGAAAAUUAUUUAAUUAAUUUAAUUU
Molecule: transfer RNA, 64 nt
Filed under: Neoscrobiger rauciceps
Lineage: Eukaryota; Metazoa; Arthropoda; Insecta; Coleoptera; Cleridae
Description: tRNA-Val
Source: RNAcentral